UGCGGAAUUCGCCAUGCCUAUAUGACAAGAGUCAUGCCGAUUACAAAAAUCAAGAGAAAAAAGGCGUUCUUGGAAGGAAGUCGCCGAUAAUUUGGAAGUUGAUGAAAGUGUUGUUAUGAAGCGUUGGGGCAACUUGAGAGAACGCUUCUCAAAAGAAAUUAGAAUCUCACAAAAUGAUUCAGGAAGUGGUGCAUUCGUAGGAAGGCAGUGGGCGCUAUUUGAAAGUUUGCAAUUUUUAAGAAGUCACAUUAUUCCUCGUCCUGCGCCAAUAUUGAAACGCAGCGACGAGAACUAUGACUUUAUUAACAUUUCGUCCGAAUCUAUAUCACAAGAUCUCUCGCCGUCACCUCCAAUUUCCCCUGGGCAGUUAAUUCCGUCCGACCAAUCAACAAUAAUUCUGUCCGAUCAAACAACAGCAAUUCCGUCCGAUCAGUCAAUUCCGUCUAGUCAGCCAUCAGCAAAUCCGUCAUCAACAUCGCGACCACGAAAGCAAAGAGGCAGACAGCUUGACGAGGUGGACACUGCCAUCCUCGGAACAGUGAAAACUUUCCAGGAGGUAUGUGAGCGUAGAGCGCGUCGAGAAGAGUUUGAUGCGGAGAUAAGCGGCUUUGGGCACCAUGAUAUG
Bactrocera neohumeralis is the source of this 625-nucleotide long non-coding RNA. RefSeq lists it as uncharacterized. NCBI's taxonomy places the organism in Eukaryota, Metazoa, Arthropoda, Insecta, Diptera, Tephritidae. The transcript has 3 exons. The record is from RefSeq and is a predicted model, not a curated record.